RNAcentral lists this transfer RNA (65 nucleotides) under Cyathocotyle prussica. Its description in RNAcentral is "tRNA-Leu". Lineage: Eukaryota; Metazoa; Platyhelminthes; Trematoda; Diplostomida; Cyathocotylidae. The record is from RNAcentral.
UUAAAGAUGCCAGAAGGAUUAUGGGUUAGAUUUAGGAUUUAAUAAUGGGCGGGUCCCUCUUUAGU